UAACCUACCUAUAAGACUGGGAUAACUUCGGGAAACCGGAGCUAAUACCGGAUAACAUUUGGAACCGCAUGGUUCUAAAGUGAAAGAUGGUUUUGCUAUCACUUAUAGAUGGACCCGCGCCGUAUUAGCUAGUUGGUAAGGUAACGGCUUACCAAGGCGACGAUACGUAGCCGACCUGAGAGGGUGAUCGGCCACACUGGAACUGAGACACGGUCCAGACUCCUACGGGAGGCAGCAGUAGGGAAUCUUCCGCAAUGGGCGAAAGCCUGACGGAGCAACGCCGCGUGAGUGAUGAAGGGUUUCGGCUCGUAAAACUCUGUUAUUAGGGAAGAACAAACGUGUAAGUAACUGUGCAUGUCUUGACGGUACCUAAUCAGAAAGCCACGGCUAACUACGUGCCAGCAGCCGCGGUAAUACGUAGGUGGCAAGCGUUAUCCGGAAUUAUUGGGCGUAAAGCGCGCGUAGGCGGUUUCUUAAGUCUGAUGUGAAAGCCCACGGCUCAACCGUGGAGGGUCAUUGGAAACUGGGAAACUUGAGUGCAGAAGAGGAAAGUGGAAUUCCAUGUGUAGCGGUGAAAUGCGCAGAGAUAUGGAGGAACACCAGUGGCGAAGGCGACUUUCUGGUCUGUAACUGACGCUGAUGUGCGAAAGCGUGGGGAUCAAACAGGAUUAGAUACCCCUGGUAGUCCACGCCGUAAACGAUGAGUGCUAAGUGUUAGGGGGUUUCCGCCCCUUAGUGCUGCAGCUAACGCAUUAAGCACUCCGCCUGGGGAGUACGACCGCAAGGUUGAAACUCAAAGGAAUUGACGGGGACCCGCACAAGCGGUGGAGCAUGUGGUUUAAUUUGAAGCAACGCGAAGAACCUUACCAAAUCUUGACAUCCUUUGAAAACUCUAGAG
Molecule: ribosomal RNA, 898 nt
Filed under: Staphylococcus saprophyticus
Lineage: Bacteria; Bacillati; Bacillota; Bacilli; Caryophanales; Staphylococcaceae
Description: bacterial SSU rRNA
Rfam family: Bacterial small subunit ribosomal RNA
Source: RNAcentral